UAGUCCUGCCUCCAGACCAUCCUGAACGGUUCUGGCAGCUGUAAGUCACAGGCAAAGUGGGACAGAACUCCUGGGUGUAUUUGGCCUCUGUGAGAGCAGGAUUCUGACACCAAUUCCAAUGUGUGUAUUUAUUCCACACCACCAAGCAGUUCUCCAACAUUAACUGGGAGUCUGACAAUUCAACUCAAUUCUGAAACUACCUGGAGACAGCAUCAGAUCCACUGCCUGCCUUGAAAUCAGCCAGCCGCUUUUGGGGAGCUGCUAUCCCCAUAACCCUGAGGAAUGGGGGAUGGUGGCUGGUUCAAGCCCCACUCUUCCUUCAUCAAGUACUUUCCUUGUUGUCUGAUCGGAUACCAGAGUUCUGAAAUAGUUGCUUAAUGGUUACCAUUUUCUCCUCACUCUAGCCCCUGGCAACUUAUAUUAUAUUCUACUUCGGUCUCUACGAA
This is a long non-coding RNA of Felis catus (domestic cat), 446 nucleotides long. RefSeq lists it as uncharacterized. The transcript is spliced from 2 exons. The record is from RefSeq and is a predicted model, not a curated record. NCBI's taxonomy places the organism in Eukaryota, Metazoa, Chordata, Mammalia, Carnivora, Felidae.